GGAUUAGGCAUGCAAGUCGAACGAGAAAGGCGCCUUCGGGUGCCGAGUAAAGUGGCGAACGGGUGAGUAACGCAUGGAUGACCUGCCUCUGAGAGGGGGAUAACGUCUCGAAAGGGACGCUAAUACCGCAUAACGUCGGCACCUUCGGGUGCGGACCAAAGAUUGCCUCUGCAUGCAAGCUUUCACUCAGAGAGGGGUUCAUGUCCUAUUAGCUUGUUGGUGAGGUAACGGCUCACCAAGGCAGCGAUGGGUAGCCGGCCUGAGAGGGUGUCCGGCCACACUGGGACUGAGACACUGCCCAGACUCCUACGGGAGGCUGCAGUCGAGAAUCUUCCGCAAUGCGCGCAAGCGUGACGGAGCGACGCCGCGUGGGUGAUGAAGGCCUUCGGGUUGUAAAGCCCUGUUGCCUGCUAAGAACGCCCGACGGUGAAUAGCUGUUCGGGUUGACGUCAGCAGGGGAGGAAGCACCGGCUAAAUACGUGCCAGCAGCCGCGGUAAUACGUAUGGUGCGAACGUUGUUCGGAAUCACUGGGCAUAAAGAGCACGUAGGCGGUCUGGUAAGUCCGACUGUGAAAUCCCUCGGCUCAACCGAGGAACUGCAUCGGAUACUGCUGGACUCGAGUGCAGUAGGGGAGAGUGGAAUUCCAGGUGGAGCGGUGAAAUGCGUAGAUAUCUGGAGGAACGCCAGUGGCGAAAGCGACUCUCUGGACUGCUACUGACGCUGAGGUGCGAAAGCCAGGGGAGCAAACGGGAUUAGAUACCCCGGUAGUCCUGGCCCUAAACGAUGGGCACUAAGUAGAGGGGUUUU
RNAcentral lists this ribosomal RNA (808 nucleotides) under uncultured Planctomycetota bacterium. RNAcentral's name for it is "bacterial SSU rRNA". It matches the Rfam family "Bacterial small subunit ribosomal RNA", at positions 46 to 832 of the family's 1533-position model. The record is from RNAcentral. Lineage: Bacteria; Pseudomonadati; Planctomycetota.